Molecule: ribosomal RNA, 465 nt
Filed under: uncultured bacterium
Lineage: Bacteria
Description: partial 16S ribosomal RNA
Rfam family: Bacterial small subunit ribosomal RNA
Source: RNAcentral
CUACGGGAGGCAGCAGUGGGGAAUAUUGGACAAUGGGGGAAACCCUGAUCCAGCAAUGCCGCGUGUGUGAAGAAGGCCUGCGGGUUGUAAAGCACUUUCGGUUGGGAGGACUGCUUCUAGCACUAAUAUUGUUGGAAGUUGACGUUACCUUCAGAAGAAGCACCGGCUAACUCCGUGCCAGCAGCCGCGGUAAUACGGAGGGUGCAAGCGUUAAUCGGAAGUACUGGGCGUAAAGCGCGCGUAGGCGGCUAGACCAGUCGGGUGUGAAAGCCCCGGGCUUAACCUGGGAACUGCAUCCGAUACUGUCUAGCUUGAGUACAGGAGAGGAGAGUGGAAUUCCACAUGUAGCGGUGAAAUGCGUAGAUAUGUGGAGGAACACCAAUGGCGAAGGCAGCUCUCUGGCCUGAUACUGACGCUGAGGUGCGAAAGCGUGGGGAGCAAACGGGAUUAGAUACCCGUGUAGUC